Molecule: ribosomal RNA, 483 nt
Filed under: uncultured bacterium
Lineage: Bacteria
Description: partial 16S ribosomal RNA
Rfam family: Bacterial small subunit ribosomal RNA
Source: RNAcentral
GACGAACGCUGGCGGCGUGCUUAACACAUGCAAGUCGAACGAUGAAGCAGGAGCUUGCUCCUGUGGAUUAGUGGCGAACGGGUGAGUAACACGUGAGCAAUCUGCCCUUGACUCUGGGAUAACUGCGGGAAACUGUAGCUAAUACCGGAUAUGAAACCUUGGGGCAGCCCAGGGGUUGGAAAGAAUUUCGGGCAAGGAUGAGCUCGCGGUCUAACAGCUAGUUGGCGAGGUAAUGGCUCACCAAGGCGCAGACGAGUAGCCGGCCGAAGAGAGUGAACGGGCGCAGUGGAACUGAGACACGGUCCAAGCCCCGACGGGAGGCAGCAGUGGGGAAUAUUGAAUAAUGGGCGAAAGCCUGAUGCAGCAACGCCGCGGGAGGGAUGAAGGCCUUCGGGUUGUAAACCUCUUUUAGCAGGGAAGAAGCGAAAGUGACGGUACCUGCAGAAAAAGCACCGACUAACUACGUGCCAGCCGCCGCCGUAG